RNAcentral lists this ribosomal RNA (1485 nucleotides) under uncultured prokaryote. RNAcentral's name for it is "partial 16S ribosomal RNA". It matches the Rfam family "Bacterial small subunit ribosomal RNA". The record is from RNAcentral.
AGAGUUUGAUCCUGGCUCAGGAUGAACGCUAGCGGCAGGCCUAACACAUGCAAGUCGAACGGUAACAGAAGGAGCUUGCUCUUUGCUGACGAGUGGCGAACGGGUGCGUAACGCGUAUGCAACCUACCUUUAACUGGGGAAUAGCCUUUAGAAAUGAAGAUUAAUACUCCAUAACAAUACGAGAUCUCAUGAUCAUGUAUUUAAAACUCCGGUGGUUAAAGAUGGGCAUGCGUGACAUUAGCUAGUUGGUGAGGUAACUGCUCACCAAGGCUACGAUGUCUAGGGGGCCUGAGAGGGUUAUCCCCCACACUGGUACUGAGACACGGACCAGACUCCUACGGGAGGCAGCAGUGAGGAAUAUUGCGCAAUGGACGAAAGUCUGACGCAGCCAUGCCGCGUGAAGGAUGAAUGCCCUCGUGGUUGUAAACUUCUUUUAUAUAGGAAGAAAGAUAAGUACGUGUAUUUAUUUGACGGUAGUAUAUGAAUAAGCAUCGGCUAACUCCGUGCCAGCAGCCGCGGUAAUACGGAGGAUCCAAGCGUUAUCCGGAAUCAUUGGGUUUAAAGGGUCCGUAGGUGGAUAAUUAAGUCAGAGGUGAAAUCCUGCAGCUCAACUGUAGAAUUGCCUUUGAUACUGGUUAUCUUGAGUUAUUAUGAAGUAGGCGGAAUAUGUCAUGUAGCGGUGAAAUGCAUAGAUAUGACAUAGAACACCGAUAGCGAAGGCAGCUUACUAAUCUAUAACUGACGCUGAGGCACGAAAGCGUGGGGAGCGAACAGGAUUAGAUACCCUGGUAGUCCACGCCGUAAACGAUGAUCACUCGUUGUUGGCGAUACAUAGUCAGCGACCAAGCGAAAGUGAUAAGUGACCCACCUGGGGAGUACGUUCGCAAGAAUGAAACUCAAAGGAAUUGACGGGGGCCCGCACAAGCGGCGGAGCAUGUGGUUUAAUUCGAUGAUACGCGAGGAACCUUACCAGGGCUUAAAUGUAGAUUGACUGGUUUAGAUAUAGACUUUUCUUCGGACAAUUUACAAGGUGCUGCAUGGUUGUCGUCAGCUCGUGCAGUGAGGUGUCAGGUUAAGUCCUAUAACGAGCGCAACCCCUGUUGUUAGUUGCCAGCGAGUCAUGUCGGGAACUCUAACAAGACUGCCAGUGCAAACUGUGAGGAAGGUGGGGAUGACGUCAAAUCAUCACGGCCCUUACGUCCUGGGCUACACACGUGCUACAAUGGCCGGUACAGAGGGCAGCCACUGGGUGACCAGGAGCCGAAUCUAUAAAACCGGUCUCAGUUCGGAUCGGAGUCUGCAACUCGACUCCGUGAAGCUGGAAUCGCUAGUAAUCGGAUAUCAGCCAUGAUCCGGUGAAUACGUUCCCGGGCCUUGUACACACCGCCCGUCAAGCCAUGGAAGUUGGAAGUGCCUGAAGUCCGUCACCGUAAGGAACGGCCUAGGGUAAAGUCGAUCCACCUGGGGCUAAGUCGUAACAAGGUA